AGCUAUACAAUACUGGUAAGGUGAAGAGGCGUUGCGUUGCAGCGACAUUCCGAUAACGAACAAUCUCCUACGCGUAAUAUUGCACACGUCCUGCAGCAACACCCGUUGAUUACAGAGUGAAUAUAACUGCGUAAAUAGAUCGUGCCGAGAGCACGGUCUUCAGAAGCUCCUCGAAACCUCUCAGUGAUUUUUAACUUUCAAAGUUUACCGAGAACCAGUAAGUAAACGCAAAAAUGCCUGGACCCUGUGAAAAGUGCAAAGAUGUCUGCAGUGACUGCAAAUGCGGUACCGAUUGCGAAUGUUGCGACACCGCACAAGAUAAGUGCGAGUGUAAGAGCGAGGGACAGUGCACUUGUACGGAUUGUAAGUGCGAAUGAAAAUACUACCCAUCUCUUCUGAAAACAGCGUCGAAGCUAUGACGUACCAAAAUGGUUCGAAUCGCCGUGGUUCACUCAUCGUUUACGUUCAAUCAAGCCCAAGUUAUUUUAUAAUUUUAACCACCACAGCUGUUAUCAAAUUAAUACAGUUACAGUUUGUACUUCGUCAGAUUUGAUGAUACAUGGCGUCAAUCGCUGAUUUCAUAAUAACUGCAUCAACGCAAUAAAACAAAACCUCUGAAAAUGA
RNAcentral lists this long non-coding RNA (624 nucleotides) under Neodiprion lecontei (redheaded pine sawfly). Its description in RNAcentral is "uncharacterized LOC107216936, transcript variant X3". Lineage: Eukaryota; Metazoa; Arthropoda; Insecta; Hymenoptera; Diprionidae. The record is from RNAcentral.